UUGUCUGUGAAAUGGGAUUUACAAGCAUGUUUUGAUUGGUAACCAUUUUUGUCUUACAACCUACAAGCUAAAACCAACAUGAUUUUACAUGCUUUUAUAAUCAUGGGUAUGAUUGUACUUCCAAUGUUUUCAAUCUCUUUUUGCUGCCAGUGUAUUCUUUUCACUCUGCCUCAUGAGGGUGCGUGUUCCAGAGGCUUUUUGAAAGAUAUCAUCAUCAUCAUGUAUAGGAAGCUGCAUUUUGUUGGUGUUUUUUUAGCAUGUUUAUUUUCUUGUGUUCAAGGUCUUUUGCUUUAUCACUUGUAUUGUUGUUUGUCUGCAACUUUUUAAAAAUUCUUGCCUUUCCACCAUAUUUUCUAAGCAGGUUCUUCUUCUGGUUUUGCUUCCUGUUCGUACUGGUCACAAAAUCUAGGUUUAAGCUUACUGGUAUCUCUUUAUGUUUUCUACUAUUUUUAACAAUAUGCAUAUUUGUACUUUCAUUUAGCCUUAGUUUUUAAACUGUAGCCAUAUUCAGUUUUUAUUUUCCCAAUUACUAUUUUACUGCCUUGAUGUCAUUUGGCUCUUUUUUUUUUUUUAAUUUUUCCCUUUUUUUCAGCCUAAUGUAAAGAGACUACUUCCAACAAGACAGAAAGUUUUACUAUUUUGUUUUUAAAAAAUAAUAUUUUAUACAACACACAACCCUAUUCAAUAGAAAUAAAGUAAAAAGAUUGUCCAUCUCUCUCAUUUUUUAACUAUUCCCAUGUGUUUUUAACAUGGGCAUCUAGACCUUAUUCAAUCAGCUUUUCUAGCUGAGCUGCUUUGCUGCAUUAUUUUUGCUAAUGUUGCAGGCUUGCAGCCAACCCAAGAUCAUGUUAACCACUUAUCCACAAUUCCUGGAUGUCAUAAAACUCCAAACAGAAACCAGUUUCUAGUCUUGAAACAAAGUUGAACAAAAAUCCUGAAUUUCUGUUCAUGGUCUUGACAUAGCCCAACCCCAAACUAAACCUCUAAAGAUGUUUGUCCAGCCAUUAGCAAAAGUGCAGGAGAUGGGAGGUGGGCCCAGUGGAGUCAUACUGAAAAGGGGUCCCAUCCCUCAAACCACUGUAGCUUUAUAUACAGUUAGAAGAAGAAUUAGGUGUAAUGUCACCAUGACUUGUCAUUGAGCAUCUGAGCAGCAAAUGUCUACAUCUGUUUGUGUGUAUUAAGAGAGAAUGAGAGUUUUUAAACAUUGAAGGGUUACAUGUUUGGAAGGAAACAAAAAGGCAAAAGCUCUAUCAAGGGUUUUGAGGUUAGUUGGGGGAACAAAACCCUGUGUUUCCAUUAAAAUCACCUCUUAACUGUUGAACAUGACAUGUUAAUACACUUUGAUUAAGCAUUAAUGUCUGGGAGUACAACUUACUAGAAAGGUGCUGGCAUAAUUAAUUAGAUAUUCAUUAGUUCUGUUGUUUCUAUACUUUUAGGUGUUUGAUUGCCUUUAGUCUAAAUUUAAUGUUCGUGAUUUUGAUGCGAUAAGUGAAAAAAACAAAGAAACAAUGUAAUUAGAAGCUAAGAGAACAAUACGCUGCAUUAUCCUCUCAAGAAAAAGAAAUUCGUCUGCCUAAACAAAGGGAGGCAUACCAAAGAAGAAGAAUAAAUAAAUUCUUGAGCCUUCCUGCUCCUCAACAACUCAAACAAGCUCAAAAAAAUGGUUCUUUCGGACGAAGGAAAAAAAAAGCACAAAUCUGAGGUUGACGCCCUUGCAUCGCAGCUUCAAGAAGCUGCAACUUCUACUGCUUCUGGACUCCAUUAAUGACCAAACUAUACAAGGUCCAACACUGAUUUCACAUUAAGAUCAGCAUCGCCUGCUCCUCCUUCUCAUAACAAUGAAAAAGGAAGAGGAAAAAAGGAAGAGGAAGGGCCAGGUUACUAUUUUCUCAACUUGUGAAAAAGGUUAAAAGAGGAUUAUUCUUUUAGUAUAUAUUAUAUGUUAUAUACACCGUUCAAAUUUUCGACGUGUCUUCUUGUCUUUAACCAGGUUCCUCCUCAAAGGGAAUACCUAAGCAUGCAUGGUGUAGGGAUUCUAAUUCCACUAACCAUUCCUCAGGUUUUGCCACCUCUUGUAAACAGUAGUCUUUGAUAUUCCUCUCAUUCUUUAUUAACAUGUAAACACUGAAUAGUACAGGAAACAUAAGCCAAAAAAGCCAAGCAUUCAACUGUAAACAU
Molecule: long non-coding RNA, 2178 nt
Filed under: Coffea arabica (coffee)
Lineage: Eukaryota; Viridiplantae; Streptophyta; Magnoliopsida; Gentianales; Rubiaceae
Description: long non-coding RNA (CARA_LNC002674)
Source: RNAcentral